GAUGAACGCUGGCGGCGUGCCUAAUACAUGCAAGUCGAGCGAACAGACGAGGAGCUUGCUCCUCUGACGUUAGCGGCGGACGGGUGAGUAACACGUGGAUAACCUACCUAUAAGACUGGGAUAACUUCGGGAAACCGGAGCUAAUACCGGAUAAUAUAUUGAACCGCAUGGUUCAAUAGUGAAAGACGGUUUUGCUGUCACUUAUAGAUGGAUCCGCGCCGCAUUAGCUAGUUGGUAAGGUAACGGCUUACCAAGGCAACGAUGCGUAGCCGACCUGAGAGGGUGAUCGGCCACACUGGAACUGAGACACGGGCCAGACCCCUACGGGAGGCAGCAGUAGGGAAUCUUCCGCAAUGGGCGAAAGCUUGACGGAGCAACGCCGCGUGAGUGAUGAAGGUCUUCGGAUCGUAAAACUCUGUUAUUAGGGAAGAACAAAUGUGUAAGUAACUAUGCACGUCUUGACGGUACCUAAUCAGAAAGCCACGGCUAACUACGU
Molecule: ribosomal RNA, 496 nt
Filed under: uncultured bacterium
Lineage: Bacteria
Description: partial 16S ribosomal RNA
Rfam family: Bacterial small subunit ribosomal RNA
Source: RNAcentral